AUGGCUCAGGACGAACGCUGGCGGCGUGCCUAAUACAUGCAAGUCGAACGCUUCCUACCGGUGCUUGCACCGGGAAAGAAGAGUGGCGGACGGGUGAGUAACACGUGGGUAACCUACCUACAAGCGGGGGAUAACAUUCGGAAACGGAUGCUAAUACCGCAUAGAUCUUUUUGUCUCCUGGCAGAAAGAAGAAAGACGGUUUCGGCUGUCACUUGUAGAUGGACCCGCGGCGCAUUAGUUAGUUGGUGAGGUAAUGGCUCACCAAGACGAUGAUGCGUAGCCGACCUGAGAGGGUGAUCGGCCACACUGGGACUGAGACACGGCCCAGACUCCUACGGGAGGCAGCAGUAGGGAAUCUUCCGCAAUGGACGAAAGUCUGACGGAGCAACGCCGCGUGAGUGAAAGAAGGUUUUCCGAUCGUAAAACUCUGUUGUUAGAGAAGAACAAGGAUGAGAGUAACUGCUCGUCCCUUGACGGUAUCUAACCAGAAAGCCAUGGCUAACUACGUGCCAGCCGCCGC
This 520-nucleotide ribosomal RNA is filed under the name uncultured bacterium. RNAcentral describes it as "bacterial SSU rRNA". It matches the Rfam family "Bacterial small subunit ribosomal RNA", at positions 19 to 518 of the family's 1533-position model. The record is from RNAcentral.